GGGGUUAUAGUUAAAUUUGGUAGAACGAC
RNAcentral lists this transfer RNA (29 nucleotides) under Saccharomyces cerevisiae (brewer's yeast). Its description in RNAcentral is "tRNA-Ala". Lineage: Eukaryota; Fungi; Ascomycota; Saccharomycetes; Saccharomycetales; Saccharomycetaceae. The record is from RNAcentral.